Molecule: ribosomal RNA, 255 nt
Filed under: uncultured bacterium
Lineage: Bacteria
Description: partial 16S ribosomal RNA
Rfam family: Bacterial small subunit ribosomal RNA
Source: RNAcentral
UACGUAGGGUCCAAGCGUUAAUCGGAAUUACUGGGCGUAAAGCGUGCGCAGGCGGUUUCUUAAGUCAGAUGUGAAAGCCCCGGGCUUAACCUGGGAACUGCGUUUGAAACUGGGAGACUUGAGUGUGGCAGAGGGGGGUGGAAUUCCGACGUGUAGCAGGUGAAAUGCGUAGAUAUGUGGAGGAACACCGAUGGCGAAGGCAGCCCCCUGGGUUAACACUGACGCUCAUGCACGAAAGCGUGGGGAGCAAACAGG